RNAcentral lists this long non-coding RNA (950 nucleotides) under Pan troglodytes (chimpanzee). Its description in RNAcentral is "long non-coding RNA NONPTRT013503". The record is from RNAcentral. Lineage: Eukaryota; Metazoa; Chordata; Mammalia; Primates; Hominidae.
GGGUCCAGGUGGUGGUAGACCUUGGCCAAACCCAACAAAUGCCAAUUCAAUACCAUACUCCUCAGCAUCUCCUGGGAAUUAUGUAAUUCAACCAACUCUGGCGAUAACAUGUAUACUUUAAUGAAUGCAGUACCUCCUGGACCUAACAGACCUAAUUUUCCAAUGGGCCCUGGGUCAGAUGGUCCCAUGGGUGGAUUAGGAGGAAUGGAGUCACAUCACAUGAAUGGCUCUUUAGGCUCAGGAGAUAUGGACAGUAUUUCCAAGAAUUCUCCCAAUAAUAUGAGCCUGAGUAAUCAACCGGGCACUCCAAGGGAUGAUGGCGAAAUGGGGGGAAAUUUCUUAAAUCCUUUUCAGAGUGAGAGUUACUCCCCUAGCAUGACAAUGAGCGUGUGAUCCAUUACCAAGUCUCCUCAUGAAAACCACAGUGAGUCAGCCCUUCACAGAACUACUACGGAAGAAAAUUAUUCAUCACAGUGUACAGUUAAACAAAGGAAUCUCAGUCACACCAAACCAACCUUUUUAUUUCCUGCUCUCUCCCCUCUUUUGUGAAGAAAGCGGGUCCAAACGUGAUUCAAACAACUGUACGGAGUGGCAUAUUAGAAUUGCCCUAAACUGAACUGCAAAUAAUUAUGUGUGUAUGUAUAUGUGUGGGAAAGAGAAUGUACUGUAUAUGUGUAUGUUAUACAGACAUAUGCACAUACAUACAUUGACCCACAGGACAUUGUAAAAUAUUAUCACAUGACAUCUUAAGUAGAAAUAAGUAGGGACUUUUAUUCCAUCCUUUUUUUCACGUUUACAUUUUAAUUAUUACAAGUUGCUCCUGCCCCCUCCCUGAACUAUUUUGUGCUGUGUAUAUCACUGCUUUAUAUAAGUUAUUUUUUAAGGUGAACUCAGAUGUUAUGGUUUUGUAAAUGUCUGCAAUCAUGGAUAGGAAUAAAAUCGCUUAUUUG